This is a non-coding RNA of Podarcis lilfordi (Lilford's wall lizard), 540 nucleotides long. The record is from the annotation of a GenBank genome assembly. Lineage: Eukaryota; Metazoa; Chordata; Lepidosauria; Squamata; Lacertidae.
UGGGAGUUCAGCAGUCAGGAUACAGACCAGAGUCAAUCUCGAAGUAGAAACCCAUGACGGUCUGAGGAGAAUCCCAGGUGAGGUCCCUCAACAUGGGCAGUUGAAUAGACAAAGUACCUCAGCUCUGCUGCCUUCUUAUACUGUGUCUGUUGAUUGCAGCUUCUGCGCUUGAUGAGGCAGGUGCCCCAGCUGAGGAAUCACAUGCGUCCUUCCCCACUUGGAAAGCUAGUGAACUAGGCUCUGCUUCCUGGAGUGCCUCACCCACUGAUCUUAGGUGCAUUGGGACACUGUGACAGAAACCAGAGCACACGGAAACGCCGUUUACCUUCCCGCACAGUGGUACCUAUUUAUCUACUUGCACUGGUGUGCUUUCGAACUGCUAGGUUGGCGGGAACUGGGACAGAGCAACGGGAGCUCACCCCAUUGAGGGGAUUUGAACAGCCAACCUUCUGAUCGACAAGCCCAAGAGGCUUGUGGUUUAGACCACAGCGCCACCUGUGUCCCUUGUAUUCUUCAAUUGUUAUUUGAUCGCUCCUUGCG